Non-coding RNA from Gossypium hirsutum (cotton), 149 nucleotides. The record is from Rfam. NCBI's taxonomy places the organism in Eukaryota, Viridiplantae, Streptophyta, Magnoliopsida, Malvales, Malvaceae.
UGUUAAAUUUUUUUUAUCUAUUUUUACUGUUAAAAAUUGACAUGACUAAUGCAAUAAUCAAACAAUGUGACACAUGGCAUGCCGCAUUUACCUCAUACUUACGUAUAUGGACUAGUUUUUAAUAGUUGAAGUGGAUGCAAUUUUUAACA